Molecule: ribosomal RNA, 450 nt
Filed under: uncultured bacterium
Lineage: Bacteria
Description: partial 16S ribosomal RNA
Rfam family: Bacterial small subunit ribosomal RNA
Source: RNAcentral
GUGGGGAAUUUUGGACAAUGGGCGAAAGCCUGAUCCAGCCAUGCCGCGUGCAGGAUGAAGGCCUUCGGGUUGUAAACUGCUUUUGUACGGAACGAAAAGACUCCUUCUAAUAAAGGGGGUCCAUGACGGUACCGUAAGAAUAAGCACCGGCUAACUACGUGCCAGCAGCCGCGGUAAUACGUAGGGUGCAAGCGUUAAUCGGAAUUACUGGGCGUAAAGCGUGCGCAGGCGGUUAUAUAAUACAGAUGUGAAAUCCCCGGGCUCAACCUGGGAACUGCAUUUGUGACUGUAUAGCUAGAGUACGGUAGAGGGGGAUGGAAUUCCGCGUGUAGCAGUGAAAUGCGUAGAUAUGCGGAGGAACACCGAUGGCGAAGGCAAUCCCCUGGACCUGUACUGACGCUCAUGCACGAAAGCGUGGGGAGCAAACAGGAUUAGAUACCCUAGUAGUCC